Molecule: ribosomal RNA, 746 nt
Filed under: cyanobacterium enrichment culture clone 2_RT_2.4.8_H01-T7
Lineage: Bacteria; Bacillati; Cyanobacteriota
Description: bacterial SSU rRNA
Rfam family: Bacterial small subunit ribosomal RNA
Source: RNAcentral
GAGUUUGAUCCUGGCUCAGGAUGAACGCUGGCGGUCUGCUUAACACAUGCAAGUCGAACGGGAUCCUUCGGGAUUUAGUGGCGGACGGGUGAGUAACGCGUGAGAAUCUGCUCUUAGGUUGGGGACAACAGUUGGAAACGACUGCUAAUACCCAAUGUGCCGAGAGGUGAAAGGUUAACUGCCUGGGGAUGAGCUCGCGUCUGAUUAGCUAGUUGGAGUGGUAACGGCACACCAAGGCGACGAUCAGUAGCUGGUCUGAGAGGAUGAUCAGCCACACUGGGACUGAGACACGGCCCAGACUCCUACGGGAGGCAGCAGUGGGGAAUUUUCCGCAAUGGGCGAAAGCCUGACGGAGCAAGACCGCGUGAGGGAGGAAGGCCUAUUGGUUGUAAACCUCUUUUGAUAGGGAAGAACACAAUGACGGUACCUAUCGAAUCAGCAUCGGCUAACUCCGUGCCAGCAGCCGCGGUAAUACGGAGGAUGCAAGCGUUAUCCGGAUUUAUUGGGCGUAAAGCGUCCGUAGGUGGCAAACCAAGUCAGUUGUUAAAGCGUAGAGCUUAACUCUAUAAGGGCAAUUGAAACUGGUUAGCUAGAGUGCGAUAGGGGCAAGGGGGAUUCCCAGUGUAGCGGUGAAAUGCGUAGAUAUUGGGAAGAACAUCGGUGGCGAAGGCGCCUUGCUGGGUCUGCACUGACACUGAGGGACGAAAGCUAGGGGAGCGAAAGGGAUUAGAUACCCCUGUAGUCCU